AGAACGAACGCUGGCGGCAUGCCUAAUACAUGCAAGUCGAACGAACUCUUCGGAGUUAGUGGUGCACGGGUGCGUAACGCGUGGGAAUCUGCCCCUUGGUUCGGAAUAACAGUUGGAAACGACUGCUAAUACCGGAUGAUGACGAAAGUCCAAAGAUUUAUCGCCAAGGGAUGAGCCCGCGUAGGAUUAGCUAGUUGGUGAGGUAAAGGCUCACCAAGGCAACGAUCCUUAGCUGGUCUGAGAGGAUGAUCAGCCACACUGGGACUGAGACACGGCCCAGACUCCUACGGGAGGCAGCAGGUAGGGAAUAUUGGACAAUGGGACGAAAGCCUGAUCCAGCAAUGCCGCGUGAGUGAUAGGAACGUCCGUUAGGUUAGUAAAGUCUUCCUUUUACCGAGAUGAUUAAUGACAGUAGUCGGAAGAACUAACG
This 430-nucleotide ribosomal RNA is filed under the name uncultured soil bacterium. Its description in RNAcentral is "bacterial SSU rRNA". It matches the Rfam family "Bacterial small subunit ribosomal RNA", at positions 26 to 492 of the family's 1533-position model. The record is from RNAcentral.